CUAACUGAAAGACUCUUCCUGCAGAAUACUCAGAGCCCUGUGACUAAGGACUAAGUUCUUUCAGCCAUGGUGACAUGAGACGAAAGGUGGUCUUGAAUCUGGGAGACCUUCCCCGAUGGGGAGCUCAUAUCUUGCACAGCAAGCUCCUUUUCUUCAUCCAAGCACCCUGAGGACACCUCCUACCCCCUAAAAAGGUUUGGAAAUAUAUAAGGAGGUUUUUAGUUAUCACAGUUGACUGGGAAUUGUACUUGGCUUUUAGUGGUCAUGUGAAAAAUGCUUUAUACCACAAACAACUGUCCUGCCUCUAAUGCCAAUUGUGCUUCCAUUAGGAAACAUUCUUUCCUCCCCUCUUCUCCUGUCCUGCCUCUAGCUUAGGUUGUAAACUCUGGGAGAGAAGGGACAAGGUGGACCCUGUUCACCUUAGUGCCUAGAAGAGCACCUUACAUGUAGUGAGUGCUCAGUAGAUACUAUGUGAAUGAAAUGCCACUUAUAUUGACAGUGAUUGAUUGGUGGACAAUAUAAU
Trichechus manatus latirostris (Florida manatee) is the source of this 523-nucleotide long non-coding RNA. RefSeq lists it as uncharacterized. The transcript has 3 exons. Lineage: Eukaryota; Metazoa; Chordata; Mammalia; Sirenia; Trichechidae. The record is from RefSeq and is a predicted model, not a curated record.